Molecule: ribosomal RNA, 456 nt
Filed under: uncultured bacterium
Lineage: Bacteria
Description: bacterial SSU rRNA
Rfam family: Bacterial small subunit ribosomal RNA
Source: RNAcentral
GCUAAACGCGAAGAACCUUACCUACACUUGACAUCCCUCUUGGGGCUUUCAGAGAUGAUUGCUUUCGGUUCGGGACAGAGGAGACAGGUGGUGCAUGGUUGUCGUCAGCUCGUGUCGUGAGAUGUUGGGUUAAGUCCCGCAACGAGCGCAACCCCUGCCUGCUGUUGCCACGCGGAGGAGCAAUCCUGCCGGGGACGUCUGCAGGGACGUGCCGGUCGAUAAACCGGACGGAAGGUGGGGACGGACGUCAAGUCAUCAUGGUCCUUACGUCCAGGGCUACACACGUGCUACAAUGGUCGGGACAAACCGCAGCGAGCCCGUGAGGGUGAGCGAAUCGGAAAAACCCGGUCCAAGUUCGGAUUGCAGUCUGUAACUCGACUGCAUGAAGUUGGAAUCGCUAGUAAUCGUGGAUCAGCUACGCCACGGUGAAUCCGUUCCCGGGUCUUGUACACACCG